AGUGAACGCUGGCGGUAGGCCUAACACAUGCAAGUCGAACGGCAGCACAGUAAGAGCUUGCUCUUACGGGUGGCGAGUGGCGGACGGGUGAGGAAUACAUCGGAAUCUACUCUUUCGUGGGGGAUAACGUAGGGAAACUUACGCUAAUACCGCAUACGACCUACGGGUGAAAGCAGGGGAUCUUCGGACCUUGCGCGAUUGAAUGAGCCGAUGUGGGAUUAGCUAGUUGGCGGGGUAAAGGCCCACCAAGUCGACGAUCCGUAGCUGGUCUGAGAGGAUGGUCGGCGACACUAGAAGUGAGACGCGGUCCAGGGUCCUACGGGAGGCAGCAGUGGGGAAUAUUGGACAAUGGGCGCAAGCCUGGUCCAGCCAUACCGCGUGGGUGAAGAAGGCCUUCGGGUUGUGAAGCCCUUUUGUUGGGAAAGAAAAGCAGCAGGUUAAUACCCCGCUGUUCUGACGGUACCCAAAGAAGAAGCACCGGCUAACUUCGUG
This 492-nucleotide ribosomal RNA is filed under the name uncultured bacterium. RNAcentral's name for it is "partial 16S ribosomal RNA". It matches the Rfam family "Bacterial small subunit ribosomal RNA", at positions 29 to 507 of the family's 1533-position model. The record is from RNAcentral.